RNAcentral lists this ribosomal RNA (321 nucleotides) under Triticum aestivum (bread wheat). Its description in RNAcentral is "partial small subunit ribosomal RNA". Lineage: Eukaryota; Viridiplantae; Streptophyta; Magnoliopsida; Poales; Poaceae. The record is from RNAcentral.
AUGAGGUUUUCAUCUCAGAAACCAGUUAAACACAGCUCACAGGGCGACCAACUUACUUAUGCGGCCUCCGUACGGGGAGAGCGGCUUGUAGUUGAAGCUGAACAGCUUUGUGAUGUUGUUGAAGUUGGGAUGCUGGACAACCAGGUUCCAGUCUGUGUAGUUCAUGCGGUAGUUGAAGUUUGUGAUGGUUACUUUGACUCUCCAGUAGUCCUUGUAGUUGAGCUUGACAUGCCAGUGGACUUUUACCGGGCACAUGUGGGAAGUGCACUGGACAAGAGGCUGGCCGGUGUAUUUGCCAGGGCCAUCGAUGGCAGAUUGUAA